Long non-coding RNA from Vigna angularis (adzuki bean), 344 nucleotides. RefSeq lists it as uncharacterized. The transcript is spliced from 3 exons. The record is from RefSeq and is a predicted model, not a curated record. NCBI's taxonomy places the organism in Eukaryota, Viridiplantae, Streptophyta, Magnoliopsida, Fabales, Fabaceae.
AUCUGGGAGAUCUACUGCUACAGCUAAAAAGCUUGCAUGGGUUUCUCUUAAGUGUAAUAGACAAAUGGGGUCAUAUGAAUGUGGUUACUACGUUAUGUUUUGGAUGAUGAUCAUCAUUCGUGCACAUUACACCACUGGAUGGGAAACGAGAUUUAAUAGGACUGCUUCAAUUCCAGAGAAGUCAAUCCAACUUGUGAGGAAAACACUUGCAAGAUAUGUAAUUCAUUUAUAUAAUAGUAUGUAGUAGAUAUUAGGAUAUACUAAGUUUUAAGUUUAUGUUUCUAAGUUGUUUUAUGCUUUUCUACGUUACUAUAAAUUCAACAUGUACAUUGCAUUGAUUUAUG